This 874-nucleotide ribosomal RNA is filed under the name uncultured bacterium. Its description in RNAcentral is "bacterial SSU rRNA". It matches the Rfam family "Bacterial small subunit ribosomal RNA", at positions 28 to 896 of the family's 1533-position model. The record is from RNAcentral.
AUUGAACGCUGGCGGCAUGCUUUACACAUGCAAGUCGAACGGCAGCACGGGAGUAAUCCUGGUGGCGAGUGGCGAACGGGUGAGUAAUAUAUCGGAACAUGUCCGGAAGUGGGGGAUAACGUAGCGAAAGUUACGCUAAUACCGCAUAUGCCCUGAGGGGGAAAGGAGGGGAUCGCAAGACCUUUCGCUUUCGGAGUGGCCGAUAUCAGAUUAGCUAGUUGGUGAGGUAAAGGCUCACCAAGGCGACGAUCUGUAGCGGGUCUGAGAGGAUGAUCCGCCACACUGGAACUGAGACACGGUCCAGACUCCUACGGGAGGCAGCAGUGGGGAAUUUUGGACAAUGGGGGCAACCCUGAUCCAGCCAUGCCGCGUGAGUGAAGAAGGCCUUCGGGUUGUAAAGCUCUUUCAGCCGGAAAGAAAACGUGCAGAUUAAUACUCUGUAUGGAUGACGGUACCGGAAGAAGAAGCACCGGCUAACUACGUGCCAGCAGCCGCGGUAAUACGUAGGGUGCGAGCGUUAAUCGGAAUUACUGGGCGUAAAGCGUGCGCAGGCGGUUUUUUAAGACAGACGUGAAAUCCCCGGGCUUAACCUGGGAACUGCGUUUGUGACUGGAAGGCUAGAGUAUGGCAGAGGGGGGUAGAAUUCCACGUGUAGCAGUGAAAUGCGUAGAUAUGUGGAGGAAUACCGAUGGCGAAGGCAGCCCCCUGGGUCAAUACUGACGCUCAUGCACGAAAGCGUGGGGAGCAAACAGGAUUAGAUACCCUGGUAGUCCACGCCCUAAACGAUGUCAACUAGGUGUUGGGGGAGGAGACUUCCUUAGUACCGCAGCUAACGCGUGAAGUUGACCGCCUGGGGAGUACGGCCGCAAGGUUG